AUAAUACUCCAUAGAUUAGAGACACUGGAAUGUUCUUUAGUCGAAAGUUCUGGCGCCUUAGGAUGGAUCUGCGGUCGACUAGGUUGUUGUUGGGGUAACGGCCCAACAAGCCUGUAAUCGAUACGGGUUGUGGGAGCAAGAGCCCGGAGAUGGAAUCUGAGACACGAUUCCAGGCCCUACGGGGCGCAGCAGGCGCGAAAACUUUACAAUGCAGGAAACUGUGAUAAGGGAACUCCGAGUGCCCGUAUACGCGGGCUGUCCAGGUGUUUAAAAAUCAUCUGAAGAAAGGGCCGGGCAAGACCGGUGCCAGCCGCCGCGGUAAUACCGGCGGCUCGAGUGGUGGCCACUAUUAUUGGGCUUAAAGCGUCCGUAGCUGGACCGAUAAGUCUCUUGGGAAAUCCGCCGGCUCAACCGGCGGGCGUCUAAGGGAUACUGUUAGUCUAAGGACCGGGAAAGGUGAGAGGUACUCCGGGGGUAAGAGUGAAAUCCUGUAAUCCCCGGGGGACCACCGAUGGCGAAGGCAUCUCACCAGAACGGCUCCGACAGUGAGGGACGAAAGCUGGGGGAGCGAACCGGAUUAGAAUACCGGGUAAUCCCAGUCGUAAACUAUGCGCGUUAAGUGU
Molecule: ribosomal RNA, 623 nt
Filed under: uncultured archaeon
Lineage: Archaea
Description: bacterial SSU rRNA
Rfam family: Archaeal small subunit ribosomal RNA
Source: RNAcentral